AUGUUUGCCCCUAAAUCUAUUAAGGUUUUGAUGAUAACAAAGUAUUAAUAAACAAUUGGAAGGACUAAAAAUUUAAUUUAAGUGUGCAGGACUUAGAUUCAAUUAAGCUCUGAUUAAAGAUCAGAAGAUAAGGACUUCAGAAGUUUGUAAGUGUUCAGAAGAUUGUGAGACUCAGAAGUUGUAAUCUUCAGACGAUGAAGUCUUCAGAACUUCUUAAGGUCUAAGCUUCAUCAAACUCUAAUGAUCUUCUUGAAGUUUGUAAAGAUUCUCUUUUGCAAGUCAACUCUUCUACCAAUGAAGAA
Molecule: long non-coding RNA, 302 nt
Filed under: Trifolium pratense (red clover)
Lineage: Eukaryota; Viridiplantae; Streptophyta; Magnoliopsida; Fabales; Fabaceae
Description: long non-coding RNA (TPRA_LNC014328)
Source: RNAcentral